ACGCGAAAGGCCCCUUCGGGGGCCGAGUAGAGUGGCGUCCGGGUGAGUAACACGUGAGUAAUUUGCCUUCGGGUGGGGAAUAACAACCGGAAACGGUUGCUAAUACCGCAUAAUGCAGCGGCACCUAAUGGUGACAGUUGUUAAAGCGGGGGAUUCGCAAGAACCUCGCGCCUGAAGAGAAGCUCGCGGCGGAUUAGCUAGUUGGUAGGGUAACGGCCUACCAAGGCCACGAUCCGUAGCCGGCCUGAGAGGGCGGUCGGCCACACUGACACUGACACACGGGUCAGACUCCUACGGGAGGCAGCAGUCGGGAAUUUUGGGCAAUGGGCGAAAGCCUGACCCAGCAACGCCGCGUGAAGGAUGAAGUUUUUCGGAAUGUAAACUUCACAAGAAUGGGAAGAAUAAGGAGGGGUUAAUACCCCCUUCGAUGACGGUACCAUUUGUAAGCUCCGGCUAACUCCGUGCCAGCAGCCGCGGUAAUACGGGGGGAGCAAGCGUUGUUCGGAUUUACUGGGCGUAAAGGGCGCGUAGGCGGCGCAACAAGUCACUUGUGAAAUCUCCGGGCUUAACUCGGAGCGGCCAAGUGAUACUGUCGUGCUAGAGUGCGGAAGGGGCAACUGGAAUUCUCGGUGUAGCGGUGAAAUGCGUAGAUAUCGAGAGGAACACCUGCGGCGAAGGCGGGUUGCUGGGCCGACACUGACGCUGAGGCGCGAAAGCCAGGGGAGCGA
RNAcentral lists this ribosomal RNA (728 nucleotides) under uncultured bacterium. RNAcentral's name for it is "bacterial SSU rRNA". It matches the Rfam family "Bacterial small subunit ribosomal RNA", at positions 66 to 771 of the family's 1533-position model. The record is from RNAcentral.